AGCGGCGAGAGCUGCGGGAUAUACCCAGGGCUGCCAGGGGGCACCCCCCAACCCGGGGCGGGCGGCGCUGACCCCGCCGACCCCUUGGGCGCCGCCCGCUCACAUCCGCCGCCGGUGCACCCGAGGGCGCAACGAGCAGCCCCUUUGGGUCUCAGACUGAGGGACCAGAACAUGAAAGGGAUGGCAACAAGCCAUGCAAAGCCUCAUUCAGAAGGGAAGGAAUGCAGACAGCUCCGAGAUGGCUUUUGGAAACCCCGUGUCACUCCCUUUAUUACAAACUCCUCUGCCCUCCUCCAGGCGCCUGAGCCACUCCGGGAUUACAAAUGGAGCUUCUGCCUCUAGGACCAUGAGCCCCCUCUGCUUCCCUCGGGUCUCCGGCAUUCCAAGGCAGGGCCAGGCACCAUCACCGUAACAACGAUCCCAUUAGAAAUGGAUCCCCAGCCCAGAAGAAUCCAGGCUCACUGGGAACAGGCACUGUGGGUUUGCAGCGACACGAUGAGGUUGGUACUGUUCCCAUCUCCACUUUACAGAUGGAACCAUUGAGACACAGAGAGCUCUAUGGCUUGUCCCAAGUCACACCGCUCAGAAGAGGCCAAGCUGGGAUUGGAACCCGGGUCUUUAGAGGUUGCACUCUUAACCACCAGGUUUCCCAGCACUCGGUAAACACAGGAAAGAUGGACGGACACAGACAGUUGGUGUGCCCCAAAGUGUGCAGGCAGACGGGGAAAGAGAUGGGAGGGGACACAGCAGGGUGGGCACCAGCCUCUCCCCAAAGUAACACUGUAAAUCCCUGGAGCCUGGGCAGUUUGCAGGCAUUGGACCCUCAGAUCCACACCUGAAAGACCAAGGCCUGCCCACCAAGCGGCAGGAGCUGGACAUCAGCGUACUCAGAACACCGGAGGAGACGCAGCUAAGCAACGGGAGGCCCCUAUCACACACAGGACAGAUCACCCUUCAGCCCACUCCCCACUCCUGCCACCCGUGGCUCAAGUCUCCCUGGGAAGUCCCUGGCAUGGUGGACCAGCACAGGGCGCUGAGCUGGGGGCCUAGCCUGGUGUUACUGACAUGUGUCCUUCAGCAAAUUA
Bubalus bubalis (water buffalo) is the source of this 1085-nucleotide long non-coding RNA. RefSeq lists it as uncharacterized. The transcript is spliced from 4 exons. The record is from RefSeq and is a predicted model, not a curated record. NCBI's taxonomy places the organism in Eukaryota, Metazoa, Chordata, Mammalia, Artiodactyla, Bovidae.